This 8444-nucleotide unclassified non-coding RNA is filed under the name Hermetia illucens (black soldier fly). RNAcentral's name for it is "muscle calcium channel subunit alpha-1, transcript variant X7". The record is from RNAcentral. Lineage: Eukaryota; Metazoa; Arthropoda; Insecta; Diptera; Stratiomyidae.
AUUUCUUAGAAGUUUUCCCCUGAAUACGAGGAUGCAUAGUUCUGCUUCGCGGCCAUGGGGAUGAAUGCCUUGAUUCGGCUGAAAAACUAAGACUGUUCCUUCGUAAAACUUGAAAUGUUCAUUGCCCCACAUCUCCACUAUCUUAUUUUUCUGGCAAAUACCCCGUUUUGAUCCGUCUAAACAGCCCCUCUCACUAUACUUCCUAGUUCUUCCUUUAACUCUGUCCUCUCGAUAAGACUUCCUUCGUCGUCCGUGCUGAACUCGACUGCUUCAUCCUUUAUGAAUGGAGGGGGGAGUCCUUCUGCGAGUGACUGAAUUUUGAUGAUUUGGAACCUGAGAAUUUUGUAUCUAAAAAGUUCAGUGUGUGAUGUGGCAUGGUGACGCAUACAUAACGUAAGCUGAAGUUCUUGGGUUUGUCGCGUGUUAUUUCGUCUUUACGGUAUCUACAGCACCGGGACUUUACGAAAUUUAGAUAUAGUUGGAUAUGUAGAUAUUUAUGUUAAGAUCUGUAGACUGUCAGGUGUACAAAAGGUGGUUAUACAUGCAGAUUAAUGUCGUGCGACUAGUGAUUAUGUUGGUUUUACACGCAACAAAACUGCAGUUUUACGUCCCGCGACCAAGAUAUCUACACCUUAUUUAUUUAUUCCUUUCGAUUUACUCAUAGUGACGUUUUAUAUACAGAUAUAUAUAUAUAUAAAUUAUAUUGAAGUUAAGUAAAAUUUUUCGAGUAUAAAUUUUGCAUAUAAUAAAAAAAUUUAUUAUAAAAAAAAAUAAUUAUGAUAAAAAAUAAUAACCCUAAUUUCGUCCGGCCAAAACAAUAACAACAAUAGCAACAACAAGAACAGCAACAAUUUCACUUAACAUUUUUUAAACGCGCUCAUCGUCUAUAUACACUCUUGUAAACAAACUGUCAUAGUGUUUGUUAUUAAUAUAUUUUUUUUCUUGUCGAAAAUAUAUGAAAACUAUUUAAAACAUUUUUAUAGCAAUAAAAAAUAAUAUAAAUAUAACAGUUGACGCGAAUGAAUGUGUAAAAUAAAUAAAUUCAAAAUUUAAAAAAAUGGAAAAAAUGGAAAAAAUAGCAAAUAAAUUAGAAUAAAAUCUGCAGCAAACAAGGGCACAAUAUAAAAAAUAUAUCACAACCAGAAAAAUAAAAAAGUGAAGUCGUCAAGCACAAAAAAAACUAAAACAAAAUCCUAAGUACCAUAAUUCUACUUGAACCAUGGUUUGAUUCCCACUAGAAGUUCUUUAAAUUUAUAUUUAUAUAUUUACAAUUAUAAAUAAAUUCAUAAAUAGUAUCUAAACCUAAAUAAAAAAGAAAAAAAAAACCAAAAAAUGUAUUAUAAAUUUACUCAAAUAAUUUAGAUAAUAACAACAAAAAAAAUAAAAAAAACAAAACAUGGAUUUUCCCUAAUUGAUUUCCGGACCGGUUUAUUAUAUUUAAAUAUUAAAAUAAUUCAAAAUAAAUGACAACCAAACGUGAAAAUUUAGUGGUUUCCACCAUACAACAUCGUCGAGAACGGUGAGUGUGACUUGAGGUGCGUGUGAUUGAUAGUGAGUGUAUGAAACGGUUGCAAAGAUAUACAGAAGAUAAUAUGAUGGAUAUAUGGAGGGACCAGUAUGAGCAUCAGCCUGAGAGCACUUAUAAAUACACGACUGUGGAACGUAGCACUAACAAUAUCAGCAAUAAUUCGUCAACGACAGGCCAACGUUUUGAACGCAUUUCAACCACAGGUAGCACAAAUAAUAGUAGUAGCACACUUGGAUGUGGCCAGCAACAGCAGCAAGCACAGCACAUUGGCGGCUGUGGGGCAGGAGCAACAGGUAGUGCUUAUACCACUGGAGGAUUGAGUAGCAGUAGUAAUAGUAGCUAUAGCAUCACCGGUGGCAGGGAUAUCAGCGAAAACCUAUUAUUACCGCAGAAACCCGCUAGCGACGAGAAACAAUCAUUUAGUAAGGAAACCAAGCAAUUACAACAAACCAAGUUACAACUACAUUUGCCGUAUAAGCGAAAGGUCCAAUUGCAUUCAAGCAACAACAAGGACUCACAACAAGAACAAACGCCAAAAGCAAAUUCCCGGGGCAAUAGUAAUAAAUUUGAAAAACAACUGAAAUCUCCUAGUUCACUGCAAAAACAACAAACAGCCAACAACAAUCAAGCUAGUUUUAGUAAUAAAAACAAUACAAACAAUAAUAAUUCGGAUACUGAAGUAACUAGUGGCAAAAAUAAUAUAAUUCCUAUAAAAUCAACAUAUAAUCGAAAAUCGGUUCAACUAAUAUCGGGCAGCAGCGUCACUGGGCAACAACCACUAACGAAUAGUAAAAGCAGUAGUGAUAGUGCAAAUCCUAACGGUAGUACCGCGAGAAACCCAUCUAAACAACAAACUGUAGCUGAGAUACCGGAUGAGAACCAAAAACUACAAAAGGAUAGCAGUGGAUCAGUUGUAAAUAGUACAGACCAAGGAGAGAAGAAUCAAGUACAACAGGAACGACCAGAAAAGACCGAAAGUUUAUCACCUUUAUAUCGAGUUGAAAUUUCUAAAAAUACUGCCGGAUAUAUUCCAUGUAAUUUUUCAUCGGAAGAGACAAAUAGUGGCAAUAUCUUCAAUUCAACAAGUAGUGGUGGAAGCAGAAGCACAGACAACACCAACAAUAAUAAUACUUCCCCGUCGAUAACAAGUGCCAUUACAAGGCAAACAACAACAACAACAGCAACUGCAGUAACAACAGUGCCAGGAUUAGGAGCAUUAACAAAUAGCGGAAGCAAUUUAUAUUUAUUUCGAAGACGAAAUUCUCUAUCGGGUACCACAGGCGCUGUAUGGCAGACAACACUUAGCGUCGCAACGACCAUGAGUGCGGCUGCUGCAGCACCAACAAUGGCCGCGACCGAUGUUAGUGGUGGCCCUGAUGCUAGUAUCUUGGCCGAAGGUGGCGGUGGAGGCGGCGGUCUAGCAAAUAGUAUGGGUAUGCCAGAUGGUGCUAGUAGCAUAAUGGGUGGUGCAACACCUAAUAUUCCAGGCACUACAAAUGGUACAACAAUCGGUGGACAAUUGAAAACAGCUGCUGCACAGGCAGCUGCGAAACGUCCAGUACGACGUGGUGGUAAACCACCACCAGAUAGGCCAACGCGUGCUCUAUUUUGUCUAUCGUUGCAGAAUCCAUUGCGAAAGAUGUGCAUCGAUGUUGUUGAAUGGAAACCAUUCGAAUAUUUAAUUCUAUUAACAAUAUUUGCCAAUUGUGUUGCCUUAGCCGUCUAUACACCGUAUCCAUUUAGUGAUUCAAAUACGACAAAUGCAUAUUUAGAGAAAAUUGAAUACGUUUUUCUAGUGAUUUUUACAGCUGAAUGCUUUAUGAAAAUUAUUGCAUAUGGAUUUGUAUUGCAUUCCGGUGCAUAUUUACGUAAUGGUUGGAAUAUAUUAGAUUUUUUCAUAGUUGUAAUAGGAAUGAUAAGCACAGUUCUAUCGAAUUUAAUGAGGGAAGGCUUCGAUGUUAAAGCUUUAAGAGCAUUUAGGGUGCUUCGGCCACUAAGACUUGUCUCGGGUGUCCCAAGUCUACAAGUUGUACUCAAUUCGAUUCUUCGUGCCAUGGUGCCUUUAUUACAUAUUGCUCUUUUAGUUAUAUUUGUUAUAAUUAUUUACGCGAUCAUUGGUCUUGAGUUAUUCUCCGGUAAAAUGCAUAAAACAUGUUUUGAUAAUGUUACAAAUGAACCAAUGGAUGACCCACAUCCGUGCGGUGAUAACGGAUAUCAGUGUAGUUUAGAAAAUAAGGUAUGUCGUUACUAUUGGGUCGGACCGAAUUUUGGCAUUACGAAUUUCGAUAAUUUCGGACUGGCCAUGUUAACAGUAUUUCAAUGUAUAACAUUGGAAGGAUGGACUGAUGUUUUGUAUGCGAUACAAGAUGCUUUGGGAAAUAGCUGGCAAUGGAUAUAUUUCAUUUCUAUGGUUAUUCUGGGUGCAUUUUUCGUAAUGAAUCUAAUUCUCGGUGUAUUGAGUGGUGAAUUCUCCAAAGAACGUACCAAAGCUAAAAAUCGUGGCGAUUUUCAAAAGUUACGAGAAAAACAACAAAUCGAAGAGGAUCUUCGUGGAUAUUUAGAUUGGAUAACACAAGCUGAAGAUAUUGAACCGGAAACGGUUGGUAGUAUGACACAAGAUGGUAAAGGUAAAACACCUAAUGAAAUGGAUUCAACGGAUCAACUGGGCGAUGAAGGUAUGGAAAUGCAACAGGAAUCUUGGUUUCGUAAAAAGAAAAAAGACUUAGAUCGGGUUAAUCGAAGACUGAGACGUGCUUGUCGUAAGGCGGUCAAAUCACAAGCAUUCUACUGGUUAAUUAUUGUUUUGGUAUUUUUAAAUACUGGCGUUUUAGCAACUGAACAUUAUCAUCAACCACGAUGGCUGGAUGAGUUUCAAGAGGUGACAAAUAUGUUCUUUGUGGCUCUCUUCACGAUGGAAAUGAUGUUAAAAAUGUAUAGUUUAGGAUUUCAAGGAUAUUUCGUUUCAUUAUUUAAUCGUUUUGAUUGUUUUGUCGUUAUCGGAAGUAUUGCUGAAAUGAUACUAACACGUACACAUGUGAUGCCACCGUUAGGCGUCUCUGUGCUACGUUGUGUGCGUCUGUUGCGUGUUUUCAAAGUAACCAAAUAUUGGCGAUCGUUAUCGAAUCUCGUUGCGUCACUUUUAAAUUCCAUACAAUCGAUUGCAUCACUUCUACUAUUGCUCUUCCUAUUUAUUGUGAUAUUCGCGUUACUCGGUAUGCAAGUGUUUGGAGGAAAAUUUAAUUUUAAUAAAGAAGAAGACAAGCCACGAUCGAAUUUCGACAGUUUCUGGCAGAGUUUAUUAACUGUAUUUCAAAUUCUCACCGGAGAAGAUUGGAAUACAGUGAUGUAUGAUGGUAUCCAGGCUUACGGCGGUGUAGCAUCUAUUGGCGUUCUUGCGUGCAUUUAUUUCAUCAUUUUAUUUAUUUGUGGUAAUUACAUCUUAUUAAACGUUUUCUUGGCCAUCGCUGUUGACAACUUAGCCGAUGCUGAUUCAUUAACCACAAUUGCCAAAGAAGAAGAGGAAGAUGACAAUAAGCAAAAAUCACGAAGUCCGACUCCCUUGGAAGGGGAAGAUUUGGAUAACCUGGAUGAUCUUGAAGAAGGCCGCGAAGAUGACGAAAAUUUAGAUGAAGAAACAGCUUCAGAAACGCAAAUUCGUCUAGAUGACGAUGACGAACAAGAUACCUACGAAGAAGAUAAUGAAAAAGAUAAUGGCGAUAUACACGAACAAAUAACGGCUCGUCCACGUCGAUUGUCCGAAGUCAGCAUUAAGAAGUUUAAAAAGCCAAUACCCAGAGGAAGUGCAUUUUUUAUAUUUCCAUACACAAACAGAUUCCGAGUAUUUUGUCAUUGGCUAUGCAACCAUAGCCAUUUUGGUAAUGUUAUACUUGGAUGUAUCAUGUUCUCGUCAGCUAUGUUAGCCGCAGAAGAUCCUCUUAACGCCAAUUCGCAACGAAAUCAGGUCUUAAAUUAUUUCGAUUACUUCUUUACUGCCGUAUUUACCGUUGAAUUAGUUCUUAAAUUAAUAGCCUACGGUUUUGUGCUACAUAAAGGUGCAUUCUGCCGUUCAGCAUUUAAUCUAUUGGAUUUACUGGUUGUGUGUGUGUCGUUAGUUUCAAUAUUUUUCAGUUCGGGCGCAAUAUCCGUAGUAAAGAUCCUUCGGGUACUACGUGUUUUAAGACCUCUCAGGGCUAUCAAUCGAGCGAAAGGUUUAAAGUACGUUGUAAAAUGUGUGAUUGUUGCCAUUAAAACAAUUGGUAACAUCAUGUUGGUUACAUAUCUACUACAGUUCAUGUUUGCCGUUAUCGGAGUUCAACUAUUUAAGGGAAAAUUUUUUUCUUGUUCGGAUGGAUCAAAAGUUGUUGAAGCUGAAUGCCAUGGCACCUACUUGGUAUUUGAAAAUGGCGACGUUAACAAGCCCACCAUAAAGGAACGGGAAUGGGAUCGAAACAGGUUUCACUUUGACGAUGUUGCAAAGGCUAUGCUGACACUGUUCACGGUUUCAACAUUUGAAGGAUGGCCUGGGCUUCUCUAUGUAUCAAUCGAUUCAAAUCGUGAGGAUUACGGCCCAAUACAUAAUUUUCGUCCAGUUGUUGCAGCCUAUUAUAUUAUCUACAUUAUUAUAAUAGCAUUUUUCAUGGUUAACAUAUUCGUCGGUUUCGUUAUUGUUACAUUUCAAAACGAGGGUGAACAAGAGUAUAAAAAUUGCGAUCUUGAUAAAAAUCAACGAAAUUGCAUUGAAUUUGCUCUGAAAGCAAAACCUGUACGUCGUUAUAUACCAAAACAUCGUAUACAAUAUAAAGUUUGGUGGUUCGUCACAUCGCAACCAUUUGAGUACACGAUAUUCAUUUUAAUUAUGAUUAAUACAAUAACAUUGGCUAUGAAGUUCCAUCGUCAGCCUGAAUGGUAUACGGAAAUGCUGGAUGUGAUGAAUAUGAUAUUCACGGCUGUGUUCGCUUUGGAAUUCGUUUUUAAAUUGGCAGCGUUUCGAUUUAAGAAUUAUUUCGGUGAUGCCUGGAAUGUGUUCGAUUUUAUAAUUGUCCUCGGAAGCUUUAUCGAUAUUGUGUAUUCAGAGAUAAAAGUAAGCAAAGGUUUUAAAGUUAGUGGGGCUGAAAGUGUUGGAGCAUCGAAGAAGCCUGGAACGAAUUUAAUUUCGAUAAAUUUCUUUCGACUGUUUCGUGUAAUGCGUCUCGUAAAAUUGCUGAGUAAAGGUGAAGGUAUACGGACCUUACUAUGGACCUUCAUCAAAUCAUUUCAAGCGCUGCCGUAUGUUGCGCUACUCAUUGUUAUGCUGUUCUUCAUUUACGCUGUUAUUGGGAUGCAAGUGUUCGGCAAAAUCGAUCUCAAUCCAGAAACAUCAAUCACACUCAAUAAUAAUUUUCAAACAUUUCCGCAAGCGGUACUGGUACUAUUCCGCUCAGCUACUGGUGAAGCUUGGCAAGAAAUUAUGCUUGAUUGUUCAUCACGCCCCGGUAAAGUUGUAUGUGAUUCACGCUCAGAUGAUGCUGGGAAUCUUAAUUGUGGAUCAAGUAUUGCAUUUCCAUAUUUCAUAUCGUUUUAUGUGUUAUGUUCAUUUUUGAUCAUCAAUCUUUUCGUAGCCGUUAUUAUGGAUAAUUUUGAUUAUUUAACUCGUGACUGGUCCAUAUUGGGUCCGCAUCACUUAGAUGAAUUUAUACGACUCUGGAGUGAAUACGACCCAGACGCGAAGGGUCGAAUCAAACAUUUGGACGUGGUUACACUCCUUAGGAAGAUUUCACCGCCUCUGGGUUUUGGUAAGCUGUGUCCGCAUCGGAUGGCAUGCAAGCGACUAGUAUCAAUGAAUAUGCCAUUGAACAGUGACGGGACGGUAUUAUUCAAUGCAACACUCUUUGCGGUGGUGCGAACCUCCUUGAAAAUUAAAACCGAAGGCAAUAUAGAUGAGGCUAAUGCCGAAUUGCGAGCGACAAUCAAACAAAUUUGGAAGCGGACAAGUCCGAAACUAUUGGACCAAGUAGUACCACCGCCGGGCGUAGAUGAUGAGGUCACCGUUGGUAAAUUCUAUGCAACGUUCCUCAUUCAGGACUACUUCCGACGCUUCAAAAAGCGCAAAGAGCAGGAGAGCAAAGAAGGUAUACUUGACCAAAGCAAUACAUUGACGCUGCAAGCUGGCUUGCGGACACUACAUGAGGCUGGUCCCGAAUUGAAACGAGCCAUUUCGGGCAACUUAGAUGAACUGAUGGAGGAACCAGAACCAAUGCAUCGGCGCAACCAUACCCUGUUUGGAAGCGUUUGGUCAUCCAUGAGACGUCGGGGCCAAAGUGGUCCAUUUUCCAGGGGCGGAAUGCAGCAAAAAUCGAACGUGAGUGCGAACAAUGGUCCUAGUGCUCUCGGAGGCAUGAUCCCAGGGGAUUCAAUACAUCACAGCAUCACGGAUGGUAUGAACCACAUAACGAAGACCCUUAUGCAAACACGCUCCACCAUUCCGGACAGUGGUCUCAUCCUGCCCGGCACUGGUGGAGGUUUUGGCGGUGUUGGUAUCGUAGAUGGCAGCUUCCACGAUGCCACCACUGGCGAAUUGAAGACUCACGGCGAAAGCAUCCCAAUGCGACCGCUUAUGUUCAACAGCAUCGGUGGAAACAUCAUUCAUCCUCAGUCGCAGCCAUAUGACUGCUUUGGGUGGAGGUGAACCCAAUGGUGGUAUUAGUUCAGAACGCAUGGUACAUUCAACACCUGGCAGCCCACAAGAUCGUCAUCCGAGCUCAUUUGAGGUUGUUGGAUCGGCUGAAAGUUUAGUUGGUCGGGUCCUCGCUGAACAGGGUCUUGGUAAAUAUUGUGAUCCCGAUUUUGUCCGAUAUACAUCGCGUGAAAUGCAGGAGGCUCUCAAUAUGACGUCCGAAGAAAUGGACAUGGCGGCACAUCAAUUACUUCAGCAAGAGUG